Molecule: RNase P RNA, 319 nt
Filed under: bovine gut metagenome
Description: Bacterial RNase P class A
Rfam family: Bacterial RNase P class A
About the family: Ribonuclease P (RNase P) is a ubiquitous endoribonuclease, found in archaea, bacteria and eukarya as well as chloroplasts and mitochondria.
Source: RNAcentral
GGAAAAAUUUUUUCAGAGGAAAGUCCGUGCAACAUAGAGCAUCAUACUGUCUAACGGACAGGCAGGAGUUUUUUGGCUCUUGACAGAAAGUACAACAGAAAAUAACCGCCUUGAUUUCAAGGUAAGGGUGAAAACGUGGGGUAAGAGCCUACGGCUAUUGUUAGUGAUAAUGAUAUGCGUGCAAACCUUAUGAGUUGAAAGUCCAAAUAUAUCGGCAUAUAGUGUCUGCUCGGUGCUGCCGAGGGGUAGGAUGAUAGAGCGAAGUCGCAAGGCUUGGCGUAGAUUAAUGACAGAUGAGAAACAGAACACGGCUUACAAA